Molecule: ribosomal RNA, 440 nt
Filed under: uncultured bacterium
Lineage: Bacteria
Description: partial 16S ribosomal RNA
Rfam family: Bacterial small subunit ribosomal RNA
Source: RNAcentral
CCUACGGGAGGCAGCAGUGGGGAAUAUUGCACAAUGGGGGAAACCCUGAUGCAGCGACGCCGCGUGAGUGAGGAAGUACUUCGGUAUGUAAAGCUCUAUUAGUAGGGAAGAAAAUGACGGUACCUAACUAAGAAGCUCCUGCAAAAUACGGGCCAGCAGCCGAAGUAAUACGUAGGGGGCAAGCGUUAUCCGGAUGUAAGGGGUGUAAAGGUAGCGUAGACGGUUAAUCAAGUCAGAAGUGAAAACCCAGGGCUCAACCUUGGGACUGCUUUUGAAGCUGAGUCGCUAGAGUGCAGGAGAGGUAAGCGGAAUUCCUAGUGUAGCGGUGAAAUGCGUAGAUAUUAGGAGGAACACCAGUGGCGAAGGCGGCUUACUGGACUGUAACUGACGUUGAGGCUCGAAAGCGUGGGGAGCAAACAGGAUUAGAUACCCCGGUAGUC